CGACCGGAAACGGAAAUAGGUGGUUGUUUUCUUCUUCUCUCCAGCAGGGACGCGACAUAAAAUGGAGCACAAGCUGAUCCUGGCGGUGUCCGGCUUCCCGAGUCUCUACGACACCAACUCCCCGACCUACCGGGACCUCAACAUGCGGGCCGACUCCUGGCGACACGUCUCGGACAUCGUCGGUGUCCCCGAGGCAGAAUGCCGGAGGAAGUGGAAGACGCUGCGGGACCAGCACCGCAGGGAGAGGCAGCGGGAGAAGGACCGGCGGGAGAGCGGCAUCGGCCUCUUCAACUACCGGCCCUGGAGAUAUUCGGCCAUCUUGUCCUUUCUGAACCCGUUCAUCGACGCCAGAGCCGCGGGCUGCAACGGGUGGGCUCUGGACCCUCAGCCCCCCCAGCUCCACCCCUCUGAGACGGGCUGCAGCACCACCACGGACACCCGGAGCGACGACGAAGACCACUACGACGUCUCCGUAGUCGACGCCACAACAACCACCACCUCCUCCUCCUCCUCCUCGGAGUUCCUCCACAGGAAGCGUCCGUCUUCUGCCAGCAGAGACGGCGCCAUCGGGUUCAAGGAGGCGAAGAUGGAGUCAACCUCGGGGAUCGCCUGCGUUACGACGACGCCGCACGACAACAUGAGGGAGCUCUUUGAGGUGAUGAUGCAGUCGGUCACGUCUCUCGCCGCCUCCUUGGCCUCUUCCUCGGAUCAGCCUCCUCGUCCCGACCUCCGUCACCUCCCGCCACACCGAGCCCCCCCCGUGCCGCCCUGCACCGCGUCUAGGCUCAACCACUUGAAAACAGAGGAGCAGGAGGCCGUAGCGGCAGAGCUUCUGGACGACCGAACCGACGCCGAGGAGGAGGAGGAGGAGGAGGAGGCGUCCACUAGGCCGACCCGAGCCAGGGAGGCCCAGAGAGACCGGGACCUGGACCAGAGAGACCAUGUGACCCUGUUCCUCCUGAGCCUGGCUCCGGCCAUGAGGAGACUUCCUGCUGAGAAGCAGUCGUGGGUCAGGACCAAGAUGCAGCAGCUGCUGCACGAGGCCGAGUUCGGCGCUUUGAGUUUUCAGUGAUCCUUACAUGUUUUACAUUUUUAUCAAUACUUGUGAACUAAAAAAUAUAUUCACCUUCGAAGGAGUUUUUCUCCAUUUCUAUGAUAAUCUAACAGGUUUGUGCAGUUUUUUAAAAUAAAAACCCCAUUGUCAGUCAUUCCUAUCUUAUAUAUGAAUUAUUAAUGGAAAGUCAAACCACUUAUCCUGCACACGGGGUCGCGGGGGGGCAGGAGUCUGUCCCAGCCAACUUCAGGCGAUAGACGGGUUCAUCCCGACUGGUCACCAGCCCGCAGGGCCACACAGAGACGCACAACCAUCCGCCCAAAUGACAUUAAUCUUUAUUUAUCGGGACCGUUUUAAUGAUCAUAAAUAUACUAAACAAAUACAUAUAUACAUGGAAGAGGGAGGAUGAAGAUGAUGAACAGGGGGAGGAAGAGGAGGAGCUGGAAGACGCCAGCCCGGAAUCAUCCACCAACAACAAGCCUCUGACCGCCGGAGUGGGAAUGAUGGAGGCGGAGGAGGGCGGCGCUGCUCACAGCAACAUGGCGGACAACAAAGCUCACGGUUCAGGGUGAACCGGCUCCUCCGUGCACGGCACCAUGGACCGGGUGCACCACUCCCACGAAGCCUACAGCAGCAACGACCCGCACGGCCCCUUCCCGGACUACCGAGCCGGCUACGGGAGCAGGGGAUACGGGGCCACGAUGAGUCCCGGAGGUAGUCUGACGGGUCCCGGCGGCUCUGCUAAAGCAGCUGUGCUAGCUAGCGGCGGCAACGACGGGGGGUUGCAGCGGUUUCCCGGUCGGCAGCAGCUCCCCUCCGGGGCCACACCGACUCUGAAUCAGCUGUUGACGUCCCCGAGUCCGGUGAUGCGAGGCUACAGAGCUGGAUACCCGGAUUACAACAACCCUCCUGCGCAGCUACAGGCUAGCACGGGGCUAGCUGAGGAGACGAGCUCGGCUGCGCACGGAUGGGAAGGACAACAGGGAAGUCUCCCGACCACGAGCACGGGGGACACCCGUCGUAAACUCGUCUGACUACCGGUAAUCAGAGAAAGUCAUCUUACUGCAGCUAACAUGCUAACUCAGCCAGUUAGCCGCUAUGCUAGCCGAGAUAAGUUAGCCGAUUGGCUAGGUGGGGUACUUUAUCCGUUUCCACUGCAGACAGUUAAGUUACUUAUUCACACACCCAGUCAUUCUUACGACCAUAGUGUAAAUAAGUAGACGGCCGUUCAUUCAACCGCAAAUAACUGCCGUGAAAGUCAAAGUCAUUGUUUCGAUUCCGUGUCCAAGGUGACACCGUUGUUAGCAUGCUAAGGUAAUGUAAGCUACUGUUGCACAGGUGUUCCGGUGUGGGGGCUUUUGUUGUGAAGGGGGAGAGGAAGUUGGUGUGGUGUUGAACUGGGGCUGUUGAAAGAAGGAAGGAGGAAUAAAUGUUCUGCGCCGGUUCGGCUUUUAUUAUCUACACAAAUUAUAGGGGCACCCGAACCCCUCGGCUACAGUAACAUUAACUUCAGCUUUUGGUAUUUGCUGCCGACGCGAUGGCAGAUGUGUGUGUGUGUGUGUGUGUGUAGUUGCGUUGCUCUAUUGUCUGAGUAAAUUGACCGUAAUUACCGUUUUUCUCGGAUGUCCGUCUUCUUUGAUGUGUGGCAUCCAGUAGUGAUCGCAAAGUGAAGCUUUCC
Long non-coding RNA from Gasterosteus aculeatus aculeatus (three-spined stickleback), 2732 nucleotides. The record is from Ensembl. Lineage: Eukaryota; Metazoa; Chordata; Actinopteri; Perciformes; Gasterosteidae.